AUUGAGCGCUGGCGGCAGGCCUAACACAUGCAAGUCGAACGGUAACAGGAAGAAGCUUGCUUCUUUGCUGACGAGUGGCGGACGGGUGAGUAAUGUCUGGGAAACUGCCUGAUGGAGGGGGAUAACUACUGGAAACGGUAGCUAAUACCGCAUAACGUCGCAAGCCCAAAGAGGGGGACCUUCGGGCCUCUUGCCAUCGAAUGUGCCCAGAUGGGAUUAGCUAGUAGGUGGGGUAACGGCUCACCUAGGCGACGAUCCCUAGCUGGCCUGAGAGGAUGACCAGCCACACUGGAACUGAGACACGGUCCAGACUCCUACGGGAGGCAGCAGUGGGGAAUAUUGCGCAAUGGGCGCAAGCCUGAUGCAGCCAUGCCGCGUGUAUGAAGAAGGCCUUCGGGUUGUAAAGUACUUUCAGCGGGGAGGAAGGGAGUAAAGUUAAUACCUUUGCCCAUUGACGUUACCCGCAGAAGAAGCACCGGCUAACUACGUG
Molecule: ribosomal RNA, 490 nt
Filed under: uncultured bacterium
Lineage: Bacteria
Description: partial 16S ribosomal RNA
Rfam family: Bacterial small subunit ribosomal RNA
Source: RNAcentral